This 253-nucleotide ribosomal RNA is filed under the name uncultured bacterium. RNAcentral describes it as "partial 16S ribosomal RNA". It matches the Rfam family "Bacterial small subunit ribosomal RNA", at positions 524 to 776 of the family's 1533-position model. The record is from RNAcentral.
UACAGAGGUCCCAAGCGUUGUUCGGAUUCACUGGGCGUAAAGGGUGCGUAGGCGGUCGGGUAAGUCUGAUGUGAAAUCUCACAGCUUAACUGUGAAACUGCAUUGGAUACUAUCCGGCUAGAGGAAUGGAGGGGAGACUGGAAUACUCGGUGUAGCAGUGAAAUGCGUAGAUAUCAAGUGGAACACCAGUGGCGAAGGCGAGUCUCUGGACAUUUCCUGACGCUGAGGCACGAAAGCCAGGGGAGCAAACGGG